Molecule: ribosomal RNA, 905 nt
Filed under: uncultured marine bacterium
Lineage: Bacteria
Description: bacterial SSU rRNA
Rfam family: Bacterial small subunit ribosomal RNA
Source: RNAcentral
GCAAGUCGAACGAAGUAGUAAUACUUAGUGGCAGACGGGUGAGUAACAUGUAGGUAUCUUCCCUUUGGCCUGGAAUAACACGAGGAAACUUGUGCUAAUACCGGAUAAGUCUUUACGGAGAAAGCUUUAUGCACCAUUGGAUGAGCCUGCACUUGAUUAGUUUGUUGGUGGGGUAAUGGCCUACCAAGACUUUGAUCAAUAGCUGAUUUGAGAGGAUGAUCAGCCACAUUGGGACUGAGACACGGCCCAAACUCCUACGGGAGGCAGCAGUGGGGAAUCUUGCACAAUGGAGGAAACUCUGAUGCAGCGAUGCCGCGUGAGUGAAGAAGGCCCUUGGGUUGUAAAGCUCUUUCGUCGGGGAAGAAAAUGACUGUACCCGAAUAAGAAGGUCCGGCUAACUUCGUGCCAGCAGCCGCGGUAAUACGAAGGGACCUAGCGUAGUUCGGAAUUACUGGGCGUAAAGAGUUCGUAGGUGGUUGAAAAAGUUGGUGGUGAAAUCCCAGAGCUUAACUCUGGAACUGCCAUCAAAACUUUUCAGCUAGAGUUUGAUAGAGGAAAGCAGAAUUUCUAGUGUAGAGGUGAAAUUCGUAGAUAUUAGAAAGAAUACCAAUUGCGAAGGCAGCUUUCUGGAUCAUUACUGACACUGAGGAACGAAAGCAUGGGUAGCGAAGAGGAUUAGAUACCCUCGUAGUCCAUGCCGUAAACGAUGUGUGUUAGACGUUGGAAAUUUAUUUUCAGUGUCGCAGCGAAAGCGAUAAACACACCGCCUGGGGAGUACGACCGCAAGGUUAAAACUCAAAUGAAUUGACGGGGACCCGCACAAGUAGUGGAGCAUGUGGUUUAAUUCGAAGAUACGCGCAGAACCCUACUAACACUUGACAUGUUCGUCGCGACUUUAAGAGAUU